This 75-nucleotide transfer RNA is filed under the name Chloroflexota bacterium. Its description in RNAcentral is "Chloroflexi bacterium (anaerobic digester metagenome) tRNA-Ala". It matches the Rfam family "tRNA". From Rfam's summary of the family: Transfer RNA (tRNA) molecules are approximately 80 nucleotides in length. The record is from RNAcentral. RNAcentral also lists the same sequence under 2 other names. Lineage: Bacteria; Bacillati; Chloroflexota.
GGGGAUGUAGCUCAGCGGGAGAGCACCGCCUUUGCAAGGCGGGGGUCAUGGGUUCGAAUCCCAUCAUCUCCACCA